Molecule: ribosomal RNA, 234 nt
Filed under: uncultured Bacteroidota bacterium
Lineage: Bacteria; Pseudomonadati; Bacteroidota
Description: uncultured Bacteroidetes bacterium partial 16S ribosomal RNA
Rfam family: Bacterial small subunit ribosomal RNA
Source: RNAcentral
CGGACGGGUGAGUAACGCGUGGGCAACCUGCCCUGUACCGGGGGACAACAGCCAGAAAUGGCUGCUAAUACCGCAUAAGCCUGCUGUGCCGCAUGGCACAGCAGGGAAAACCACGGUGGUACAGGAUGGGCCCGCGUCUGAUAGUUAGUUGGCAGGGUAACGGCCCACCAAGACAUCGAUGGAUAGGGGUUCUGAGAGGAAGGUCCCCCACAUUGGAACUGAGACACGGUCCAA